This 700-nucleotide ribosomal RNA is filed under the name uncultured bacterium. Its description in RNAcentral is "bacterial SSU rRNA". It matches the Rfam family "Bacterial small subunit ribosomal RNA", at positions 42 to 739 of the family's 1533-position model. The record is from RNAcentral.
GGGGGAGGUUACAUGCAGUCGAACGGAGACGGAGCUGGAAGGGACAGUUUACUGUAACGGAAAGAUCUGUCUUAGUGCCUUACGGGUGAGUAACGCGUGGGCAACCUGCCCUGUACCGCCGGAUAACACUUAGAAAUAGGUGCUAAUACCGCAUAAUAGGGAAUACCGCAUGGUAAUCCUUUGAAAACUCCGGUGGUACAGGAUGGGCCCGCGUCUGAUUAGCCAGUUGGCGGGGUAACGGCCCACCAAAGCGACGAUCAGCAGCCGGCCUGAGAGGGUGGACGGCCACACUGGGACUGAGACACGGCCCAGACUCCUACGGGAGGCAGCAGUGGGGAAUAUUGCACAAUGGGGGGAACCCUGAUGCAGCGACGCCGCGUGAGUGAAGAAGUAUUUCGGUAUGUAAAGCUCUGUCAGCAGGGAAGAAGAAAGACGGUACCUGACCAAGAAGCCCCGGCUAACUACGUGCCAGCAGCCGCGGUAAUACGUAGGGGGCAAGCGUUAUCCGGAUUUACUGGGUGUAAAGGGAGCGUAGACGGCAGGGCAAGUCUGGAGUGAAAGGCAGGGGCCCAACCCCUGGACUGCUCUGGAAACUGUCCGGCUGGAGUGCAGGAGAGGUAAGUGGAAUUCCUAGUGUAGCGGUGAAAUGCGUACAUAUUAGGAGGAAACCCAUUGGCGAAGGCGGAUUACUGGACUGUAA